AUGCUGUGUGCCCACUUCUCACACACGAGCAGCACACACACAGACAGUUGAAUGGUCCUUGUGCUGAAACAGCUUGGUGAAGAAGAAAUUAUAGUGAAUUUCUGAUUGCUUACCAUGAAUUCUUCUUUUAGUUCUCCUACUUCUUCGGCUUUCUUCAGGGGACAUUUAAUAAUGAAGAAUCGCACCAUAUCCAACUGGCUACGGAAGAGAGGGAAGCAAGUUUAAAAGUCAACAGGGGCCGGAAUGAGGUGGCUUACACCUGUAAUCCCAGC
Long non-coding RNA from Gorilla gorilla gorilla (western lowland gorilla), 272 nucleotides. RefSeq lists it as uncharacterized. The record is from RefSeq and is a predicted model, not a curated record. The transcript is spliced from 3 exons. NCBI's taxonomy places the organism in Eukaryota, Metazoa, Chordata, Mammalia, Primates, Hominidae.